RNAcentral lists this unclassified non-coding RNA (260 nucleotides) under plant metagenome. Its description in RNAcentral is "partial contains small subunit ribosomal RNA, internal transcribed spacer 1, and 5.8S ribosomal RNA". The record is from RNAcentral.
UUUCCGUAGGUGAACCUGCGGAAGGAUCAUUACCGAAUUGUCAAACGAGUUGUUGCUGGUCUUCAAACGGGGCCAUGUGCACGCUCUGUUUACACAUCCACUCACACCUGUGCACCCUCCGUAGUUCUAUGGUCUGGGGGACCCUGUCUUCCUGCCGCGGUUCUACGUCUUUACACACACUCUGUAAUCAAGUCUUAUGUAAUGUAUGCUGCGCCUAACGAAAUAAAAUACAACUUUCAGCAACGGAUCUCUUGGCUCUC